Long non-coding RNA from Cephus cinctus (wheat stem sawfly), 418 nucleotides. RefSeq lists it as uncharacterized. The record is from RefSeq and is a predicted model, not a curated record. NCBI's taxonomy places the organism in Eukaryota, Metazoa, Arthropoda, Insecta, Hymenoptera, Cephidae. The transcript is spliced from 4 exons.
GUUUUGUCCGUUUCUGUUUCUGAAAAAAAUGACGCUCCAUUGAGAACCAUAAAAAUUAAUGUCAUCGCUAGGCUAGAGCUCCAUUCCCCUCCGUCAAGAAACACGUCGACUUUCGAACUACAAAAAUUUAAUGGAGCAGCAAUUUCCGAUCAUACUUUCGUUGAAGUAAAAAAAUAUUGAAAUAACUUACCAAGUUGCAAUCCAAGGCUGGUCGGUGCCUUUCCGCUAGCUCCCAUAAUUCCCGGGUCAUCGAGCAAAUCUCCAAUUCUACAUUAUGCAACUCUGGAUGAUAGAGGCAUAUUAGAUGCGAUAUCGAAAAAGCUUACAUGUCGGUUGCAUGCUCGACGACGAGCUCGGCAAUGUCGCCAGUCCGUUCCAUUAUCUGCGCCACCUCCUCGAAGCUGCGAUCGAUCAAGGA